GGCUGUAUAGCUCAGUAGCAGAGUGCAUGCUUAGUGUGCACAAGGUCCUGGGUUCAAUCCCAGUAACUCCA
This 71-nucleotide transfer RNA is filed under the name Camelus bactrianus (Bactrian camel). It matches the Rfam family "tRNA". From Rfam's summary of the family: Transfer RNA (tRNA) molecules are approximately 80 nucleotides in length. Their secondary structure includes four short double-helical elements and three loops (D, anti-codon, and T loops). RNAcentral also lists the same sequence under 2 other names. The record is from Rfam by way of RNAcentral. Lineage: Eukaryota; Metazoa; Chordata; Mammalia; Artiodactyla; Camelidae.